UGGGGAAACCCAGCAUGAGUUAUGUCAUGUUAUCGAUAUGUGAAUACAUAGCAUAUCAGAAGGCACACCCGGAGAACUGAAACAUCUUAGUACCCGGAGGAAGAGAAAGAAAAUUCGAUUCCCUUAGUAGCGGCGAGCGAAACGGGAAGAGCCCAAACCAACAAGCUUGCUUGUUGGGGUUGUAGGACACUCUAUACGGAGUUACAAAGGACGACAUUAGACGAAUCAUCUGGAAAGAUGAAUCAAAGAAGGUAAUAAUCCUGUAGUCGAAAAUGUUGUCUCUCUUGAGUGGAUCCUGAGUACGACGGAGCACGUGAAAUUCCGUCGGAAUCUGGGAGGACCAUCUCCUAAGGCUAAAUACUCUCUAGUGACCGAUAGUGAACCAGUACCGUGAGGGAAAGGUGAAAAGCACCCCGGAAGGGGAGUGAAAUAGAACCUGAAACCGUGUGCUUACAAGUAGUCAGAGCCCGUUAAUGGGUGAUGGCGUGCCUUUUGUAGAAUGAACCGGCGAGUUACGAUUUGAUGCAAGGUUAAGCAGUAAAUGUGGAGCCGUAGCGAAAGCGAGUCUGAAUAGGGCGUUUAGUAUUUGGUCGUAGACCCGAAACCAGGUGAUCUACCCUUGGUCAGGUUGAAGUUCAGGUAACACUGAAUGGAGGACCGAACCGACUUACGUUGAAAAGUGAGCGGAUGAACUGAGGGUAGCGGAGAAAUUCCAAUCGAACCUGGAGAUAGCUGGUUCUCUCCGAAAUAGCUUUAGGGCUAGCCUCAAGUGAUGAUUAUUGGAGGUAGAGCACUGUUUGGACGAGGGGCCCCUCUCGGGUUACCGAAUUCAGACAAACUCCGAAUGCCAAUUAAUUUAACUUGGGAGUCAGAACAUGGGUGAUAAGGUCCGUGUUCGAAAGGGAAACAGCCCAGACCACCAGCUAAGGUCCCAAAAUAUAUGUUAAGUGGAAAAGGAUGUGGCGUUGCCCAGACAACUAGGAUGUUGGCUUAGAAGCAGCCAUCAUUUAAAGAGUGCGUAAUAGCUCACUAGUCGAGUGACACUGCGCCGAAAAUGUACCGGGGCUAAACAUAUUACCGAAGCUGUGGAUUGUCCUUUGGACAAUGGUAGGAGAGCGUUCUAAGGGCGUUGAAGCAUGAUCGUAAGGACAUGUGGAGCGCUUAGAAGUGAGAAUGCCGGUGUGAGUAGCG
RNAcentral lists this ribosomal RNA (1191 nucleotides) under Staphylococcus aureus. RNAcentral's name for it is "partial 23S ribosomal RNA". It matches the Rfam family "Bacterial large subunit ribosomal RNA", at positions 119 to 1311 of the family's 2925-position model. The record is from RNAcentral. Lineage: Bacteria; Bacillati; Bacillota; Bacilli; Caryophanales; Staphylococcaceae.